Molecule: transfer RNA, 87 nt
Filed under: Candidatus Nomurabacteria bacterium RIFCSPLOWO2_01_FULL_33_24
Lineage: Bacteria; Candidatus Nomuraibacteriota
Description: tRNA-Ser
Rfam family: tRNA
About the family: Transfer RNA (tRNA) molecules are approximately 80 nucleotides in length. Their secondary structure includes four short double-helical elements and three loops (D, anti-codon, and T loops).
Source: RNAcentral
GGAGAGGUGGCUGAGUGGUUGAAGGCACCGGUCUUGAAAACCGGAGAUCGUGAAAGCGAUCCGUGGGUUCAAAUCCCACCCUCUCCG